GACGAACGCUGGCGGCGUGCUUAACACAUGCAAGUCGAACGAAGAGCGAUGGAAGCUUGCUUCCAUCACUCUUAGUGGCGAACGGGUGAGUAACGCGUAAUCAACCUGCCCUUCAGAGGGGGACAAAAGUUGGAAACGACUGCUAAUACCGCAUACGAUCUAACCUUGGCAUCGAGGAUGGAUGAAAGGUGGCCUCUAUUUAUAAGCUAUCACUGAAGGAGGGGAUUGCGUCUGAUUAGCUAGUUGGAGGGGUAACGGCCCACCAAGGCGAUGAUCAGUAGCCGGUCUGAGAGGAUGAACGGCCACAUUGGGACUGAGACACGGCCCAGACUCCUACGGGAGGCAGCAGUGGGGAAUCUUCCGCAAUGGACGAAAGUCUGACGGAGCAACGCCGCGUGAGUGAUGACGGCCUUCGGGUUGUAAAGCUCUGUUAAUCGGGACGAAAGGCCUUCUUGCGAAUAGUUAGAAGGAUUGACGGUACCGGAAUAGAAAGCCACGGCUAACUACGUG
RNAcentral lists this ribosomal RNA (510 nucleotides) under uncultured bacterium. RNAcentral describes it as "partial 16S ribosomal RNA". It matches the Rfam family "Bacterial small subunit ribosomal RNA", at positions 28 to 507 of the family's 1533-position model. The record is from RNAcentral.